CUUUGGCCAUAAAAAAAUUUAACUUUUUUCUGGAAUCAGCGUUUGGCCAUAAAAAUUCCGAAUACAACUUGAAGUUGUAUUCCGGAAUAUCAAAAACUCAAAAGACUUGUUUUUCAAAUUUUCUUCACUUUUUUAUAAUCACAUUUCACCAAAAACUACAAUUUCAAAAACUAUGGCCAAAUACAACUCCAACUUCAAUUUUUUUUUUUUUGUAUCUGUGAACAAACUGGGCCUAAGUUAUGCAAUACUUACGAGGGCUCAAUUGCCACUUCUCAUCCUAUAAGUAGUCUUAUGCAAUAAAGUGGAAAGCCAAAAAAGAAGUUGAAAAGAAACAUACCCACUUUACCGCGUGAGGUGCAAUGCUGCUAGGCUCAAGAUGUAGCUUCAAAAGUGCCCUUCAAGAGUCUCAGCAGAAACGAAAAAUCAUGAUUUUAAAAGAUACAAUUCGAGCACGUAACAAGUUUGUUGACAAAUGUACGUGGAACAGAACUGCAAAAAGGAGAAGAAAUAAACUAGGCGUGGAUCUAGAAUUUUCAUCAAGUGGGGCAAACAUAUUCAUAAAACAGAUUUGGUAUUAUGUCAUUUUGAGGAGGCUGCCAAUUUGCAAGUGGGAGAAUAAAUCAAUUAACUUCCUGACUGGUAUUGUCGGCAUUCGGAAUGAACAUAAACAAGAAUAUAGAUGCUAAAUUCAACAGAGUGGCAUCAAGAUCUAUGUUGUCUGAUGCAUUUGAGGUGGGAGUUGCAGACAAUGUUUCCUCGGGUUAAAUUGUAUGUCAUCAUCUUGCAUGUCGAGAGAUGUUUCAGUGAAAGGGAGACAACAUGGAGUUCCUAGGGAAAGAGAAAAGAAAAAGAAUUAGAGUGAUUUUUUGGAGACCAUCACUGGCAUUGACCAACGUUACCUCAAUAUGACUGAAUCUUGAACCUUUCAUAGUUACGAACUUUUAUUAUAGAUUUGAUUUAAUCAACCCAUGAGGAAAUUAGGAGUUUAUUAUAUGAGGAAAUACAAAGGCCAAUCCAGAAUUUAGAGUUAGUGAGUUCAGAAUGAUUAUGAACUUAUUGAAUGUAUAUAUUUCAGUUUUGCAUUUAUAGAUAUAGUUCGAGUUGAAUGUAAGCCGCAAAACUCGCUCAAGAUUCGCGUUUGAGGAAACCCAUCGACCCCUACCCCACCAAAAAAAAUUCAAAUUGCAAACCAUUGACUAGAUGAAUUCAUGAUUUCUUUUACACGUGUCAUUGAGAGGGAGCAUAGAAACUGGCCCGCCCAAGAAUUUGCAGGUAUAGUGUGUACCUGAGGGCUGAGAAUAUGGCUAGACCAGAAUAAAAUACCUGAUUGGACCUGCAAAGAGUUAGCUAAGUAGUCACGAAUCAAAAUAAUUUCAACCAAGUGUGGUGUGACACUAGUUUUUUUCUUUGAACAUCAGUGGCUCUUGUCUUUAAGGACUGAUUCUACUACACAUCGCAUGGUGCCAUUUUGUGUCAAGUCAAUUGAUUUAACUUGGUAAUAUCUCGAGCCAUUUUCUAGGUUUUAUU
Lycium barbarum (goji berry) is the source of this 1527-nucleotide RNA transcript. RefSeq lists it as uncharacterized. Lineage: Eukaryota; Viridiplantae; Streptophyta; Magnoliopsida; Solanales; Solanaceae. The record is from RefSeq and is a predicted model, not a curated record. The transcript is spliced from 6 exons.